CAAUAGCGUAUAUUAAAGUUGUUGCAGUUAAAAAGCUCGUAGUUGGAUUUCUGGUUGAAGCGACCGGUCGGGCGUUGAUUCGUCUGCACUGGAGUCGGUUUUGGCCAUCCUCUAGGAAAGUGCGUCUGGUAUUAAGUUAUCGGGCGUAUGAUCCUGGUCUUUUACUGUGAAAAAAUUAGAGUGUUUAAAGCAGGCCUUCGCCUUGAAUACAUUAGCAUGGAAUAAUAAGAUAGGACUUUGGUCUAUUUUGUUGGUUUGCAGACCGAAGUAAUGAUUAAUAGGGAUAGUUGGGGGUAUUUAUAUUCCGAUGUCAGAGGUCAAAUUCUUAGAUUUUCGGAAGAUAAACUUAUGCGAAAGCAUUUACCAAGGAUGUUUUCAUUAA
RNAcentral lists this ribosomal RNA (382 nucleotides) under uncultured eukaryote. Its description in RNAcentral is "partial 18S ribosomal RNA". It matches the Rfam family "Eukaryotic small subunit ribosomal RNA", at positions 592 to 976 of the family's 1831-position model. The record is from RNAcentral.